GCCUAACACAUGCAAGUCGAACGAGACCUUCGGGUCUAGUGGCGCACGGGUGCGUAACGCGUGGGAAUCUGCCCUUGGGCUCGGAAUAACAGUUAGAAAUGACUGCUAAUACGGGAUGAUGACGUAAGUCCAAAGAUUUAUCGCCCAAGGAUGAGCCCGCGUAGGAUUAGCUUGUUGGUGAGGCAAAGGCUCACCAAGGCGACGAUCCUUAGCUGGUCUGAGAGGAUGAUCAGCCACACUGGGACUGAGACACGGCCCAGACUCCUACGGGAGGCAGCAGUGGGGAAUAUUGGACAAUGGGCGAAAGCCUGAUCCAGCAAUGCCGCGUGAGUGAUGAAGGCUCUAGGGUUGUAAAGCUCUUUUACCCGGGAUGAUAAUGACAGUACCGGGAGAAUAAGCCCCGGCUAACUCCGUGCCAGCAGCCGCGGUAAUACGGAGGGGGCUAGCGUUGUUCGGAAUUACUGGGCGUAAAGCGCACGUAGGCGGCUUUUUAAGUCAGAGGUGAAAGCCCGGGGCUCAACCCCGGAAUUGCCUUUGAGACUGGAAAGCUAGAACACGGGGGAGGUGAGUGGAAUUCCGAGUGUAGAGGUGAAAUUCGUAGAUAUUCGGAAG
This 612-nucleotide ribosomal RNA is filed under the name uncultured Alphaproteobacteria bacterium. Its description in RNAcentral is "bacterial SSU rRNA". It matches the Rfam family "Bacterial small subunit ribosomal RNA", at positions 46 to 704 of the family's 1533-position model. Lineage: Bacteria; Pseudomonadati; Pseudomonadota; Alphaproteobacteria. The record is from RNAcentral.